Molecule: ribosomal RNA, 1260 nt
Filed under: metagenome
Description: bacterial LSU rRNA
Rfam family: Bacterial large subunit ribosomal RNA
Source: RNAcentral
GGGCGCUUGAGAGAACUCGGGUGAAGGAACUAGGCAAAAUGGCACCGUAACUUCGGGAGAAGGUGCGCCGGUGAGGGUGAAGCAUUUACUGCGUAAGCCCAUGCCGGUCGAAGAUACCAGGCCGCUGCGACUGUUUAUUAAAAACACAGCACUCUGCAAACACGAAAGUGGACGUAUAGGGUGUGACGCCUCCCCGGUGCCGGAAGGUUAAUUGAUGGGGUUAGCUAACGCGAAGCUCUUGAUCGAAGCCCCGGUAAACGGCGGCCGUAACGAUAACGGUCCUAAGGUAGCGAAAUUCCUUGUCGGGUAAGUUCCGACCUGCACGAAUAGCGUAACGAUGGCGGCGCUGUCUCCACCCGAGACUCAGUGAAAUUGAAAUCGCUGUGAAGAUGCAGUGUAUCCGCGGCUAGAUGGAAAGACCCCGUGAACCUUUACUAUAGCUUUGCACUGGACUUUGAAUUUGCUUGUGUAGGAUAGGUGGGAGGCUUUGAAGCGUAGACGCCAGUUCGCGUGGAGCCAACCUUGAAAUACCACCCUGGCAACUUUGAGGUUCUAACUCAGGUCCGUUAUCCGGAUCGAGGACAGUGUAUGGUGGGUAGUUUGACUGGGGCGGUCUCCUCCUAAAGAGUAACGGAGGAGUACGAAGGUGCGCUCAGACCGGUCGGAAAUCGGUCGUAGAGUAUAAAGGCAAAAAGCGCGCUUGACUGCGAGACAGACACGUCGAGCAGGUACGAAAGUAGGUCUUAGUGAUCCGGUGGUUCUGUAUGGAAGGGCCAUCGCUCAACGGAUAAAAGGUACUCCGGGGAUAACAGGCUGAUACCGCCCAAGAGUUCAUAUCGACGGCGGUGCUUGGCACCUCGAUGUCGGCUCAUUACAUCCUGGGGCUGAAGCCGGUCCCAAGGGUAUGGCUGUUCGCCAUUUAGAGUGGUACGCGAGCUGGGUUUAGAACGUCGUGAGACAGUUCGGUCCCUAUCUGCCGUGGACGUUUGAGAUUUGAGAGGGGCUGCUCCUAGUACGAGAGGACCGGAGUGGACGAACCUCUGGUGUUCCGGUUGUCACGCCAGUGGCAUUGCCGGGUAGCUAUGUUCGGAAUAGAUAACCGCUGAAAGCAUCUAAGCGGGAAACUAGCCUCAAGAUGAGAUCUCACUGGGACCUUGAGUCCCCUGAAGGGCCGUCGAAGACUACGACGUUGAUAGGUUGGGUGUGUAAGCGCUGUGAGGCGUUGAGCUAACCAAUACUAAUUGCCCGUGAGGCUUGAUC